AUAAUACUCCAUAGAUUAGAGACACUGGAAUGUUCUUUAGUCGAAAGUUCUGGCGCCUUAGGAUGGAUCUGCGGUCGAUUAGGUUGUUGUUGGGGUAACGGCCCAACAAGCCUGUAAUCGAUACGGGUUGUGGGAGCAAGAGCCCGGAGAUGGAAUCUGAGACACGAUUCCAGGCCCUACGGGGCGCAGCAGGCGCGAAAACUUUACAAUGCAGGAAACUGUGAUAAGGGAACUCCGAGUGCCCGUAUACGCGGGCUGUCCAGGUGUUUAAAAAUCAUCUGAAGAAAGGGCCGGGCAAGACCGGUGCCAGCCGCCGCGGUAAUACCGGCGGCUCGAGUGGUGGCCACUAUUAUUGGGCUUAAAGCGUCCGUAGCUGGACCGAUAAGUCUCUUGGGAAGUCCGCCGGCUCAACCGGCGGGCGUCUAAGGGAUACUGUUAGUCUAGGGACCGGGAGAGGUGAGAGGUACUCCGGGGGUAGGAGUGAAAUCCUGUAAUCCCCGGGGGACCACCGAUGGCGAAGGCAUCUCACCAGAACGGCUCCGACAGUGAGGGACGAAAGCUGGGGGAGCGAACCGGAUUAGAUACCCGGGUAGUCCCAGCCGUAAACUAUGCGCGUUAGGUGU
RNAcentral lists this ribosomal RNA (623 nucleotides) under uncultured archaeon. RNAcentral's name for it is "bacterial SSU rRNA". It matches the Rfam family "Archaeal small subunit ribosomal RNA", at positions 146 to 774 of the family's 1478-position model. The record is from RNAcentral.